RNAcentral lists this ribosomal RNA (529 nucleotides) under uncultured bacterium. RNAcentral's name for it is "bacterial SSU rRNA". It matches the Rfam family "Bacterial small subunit ribosomal RNA", at positions 8 to 526 of the family's 1533-position model. The record is from RNAcentral.
AGGGUUUGAUUAUGGCUCAGGAUGAACGCUAGCGGCAGGCCUAACACAUGCAAGUCGAGGGGCAGCACAAGGAUAGUUUACUAUUUUGGUGGCGACCGGCGCACGGGUGAGUAACGCGUAUGCAACCUACCUUAUACAGGAGUAUAGCCCGAAGAAAUUCGGAUUAAUCCUCCAUAGUAUUUUCUAAUGGCAUCAUUUGGAAAAUUAAAGCUUCGGCGGUAUAAGAUGGGCAUGCGUCCUAUUAGCUAGAUGGUAAGGUAACGGCUUACCAUGGCAACGAUAGGUAGGGGGCCUGAGAGGGUGAUCCCCCACACUGGUACUGAGACACGGACCAGACUCCUACGGGAGGCAGCAGUGAGGAAUAUUGGGCAAUGGAGGCAACUCUGACCCAGCCAUGCCGCGUGCAGGAAGAAUGCCCUAUGGGUUGUAAACUGCUUUUAUUUAGGAAUAAACCCUUCUACGUGUAGAAGGCUGAAUGUACUAAACGAAUAAGCACCGGCUAACUCCGUGCCAGCCGCCGCGGUAAUAC